UCGUCCCAUGAUCAUGCCAGGUGACAGGGAGAGUGAGCGGUGGGUUUUAUCGUCUUGUGCUUCAAUUUUUUGGGACGACGCCGCACCCUCAGCUCUUCCUGUCCAUUCCCUUCUGCUCAGAGUCCACAAAACAGAGCCAUCCCUAAGGUUCGUUGGUGGCCGAGGCCAGCAGGAGCCCGACGACGGCGAGGAUCAAGGGGGUCAGGAGCGCGCACCCGGCGACAACUACCACUACACGGUGAGCUGGCACCACAAUACAUCUGAGCGGGUCGCGCGCCAACGGGAGAACGGGGAGGGAGAAGGAGGUGGGGAUGUCUGCCGGUGACAAGGGGGGCGUGAACGACGACGGCUCAGUGGACCACUACAUCAAUUGGGAGAGAAGACGACACGUGCUAGCAUCCAGUACAACAGGGGGAGGGGGAGGCAAGAACAUGGCGCCAAGGCAGAAUUUGUGCUGCUAGAUACAAGUCAAGCUUUUGAAAGCAUUCAUGGUACAGGGAGGCAUUUCUUUUGCAACUAGUAUAAAAGGGAUUUUUUCACGAUUUUAACCCAUGGGAUGAAAGUAUUGCACGGAAUGAACUCUGAUUGAAACCAUUUCACGA
Hordeum vulgare subsp. vulgare (domesticated barley) is the source of this 602-nucleotide long non-coding RNA. RefSeq lists it as uncharacterized. NCBI's taxonomy places the organism in Eukaryota, Viridiplantae, Streptophyta, Magnoliopsida, Poales, Poaceae. The transcript has 2 exons. The record is from RefSeq and is a predicted model, not a curated record.